RNAcentral lists this ribosomal RNA (564 nucleotides) under uncultured Micromonas. RNAcentral describes it as "bacterial SSU rRNA". It matches the Rfam family "Bacterial small subunit ribosomal RNA", at positions 86 to 685 of the family's 1533-position model. Lineage: Eukaryota; Viridiplantae; Chlorophyta; Mamiellophyceae; Mamiellales. The record is from RNAcentral.
UGUGGAAGAGUGGCGAACGGGUGAGGAACACGUAAGAAUCUGCCCCUCGGUCGGGGACAACUUUUGGAAACGAAAGCUAAUACCCGAUACGCUGUGGAGUGAAAGAAUUUCGCCGAGGGAUGAUCUUGCGUCUGAUUAGCUAGUUGGUGCGGUAAUGGCGCACCAAGGCGACGAUCAGUAGCUGGUCUGAGAGGAUGAACAGCCACAUUGGAACUGAGACACGGUCCAAACUCCUACGGGAGGCAGCAGUGGGGAAUUUUCCGCAAUGGACGAAAGUCUGACGGAGCGACGCUGCGUGAAGGAUGACGGCCUGCGGGUUGUAAACUUCUUUUCUCGAAGAAGAAGCUCUGACGGUAUUCGAGGAAUAAGCAUCGGCUAACUCCGUGCCAGCAGCCGCGGUAAGACGGAGGAUGCAAGUGUUAUUCGGAAUGAUUGGGCGUAAAGCGUCUGUAGGCUGUAUAGAAAGUCUUUUGUUAAAUACCUCGGCUCAACCGAGAUCCAGCAAAGGAAACUUCUAUACUUGAGGUAAGUAGAGGUACAGGGAAUUCCCGGUGGAGCGGUGAA